This 427-nucleotide ribosomal RNA is filed under the name uncultured Sporolactobacillus sp. RNAcentral's name for it is "bacterial SSU rRNA". It matches the Rfam family "Bacterial small subunit ribosomal RNA", at positions 355 to 774 of the family's 1533-position model. Lineage: Bacteria; Bacillati; Bacillota; Bacilli; Caryophanales; Sporolactobacillaceae. The record is from RNAcentral.
UAGGGAAUCUUCCACAAUGGACGGAAGUCUGAUGGAGCAACGCCGCGUGGGCGAAGAAGGUUUUCGGAUCGUAAAGCCCUGUUGCCGGAGAAGAACGGAUAGGGGAGGCAAUGCCCGUAUCGUGACGGUAUCCGGCCAGAAAGCCACGGCUAACUACGUGCCAGCAGCCGCGGUAAUACGUAGGUGGCAAGCGUUGUCCGGAAUUAUUGGGCGUAAAGGGCGCGCAGGCGGCCCGUUAAGUCUGAUGUGAAACAUUGCGGCUCAACCGCAAGCGUGCAUUGGAAACUGGCGGGCUUGAGAGCAGGAGAGGGAGGUAGAAUUCCACGUGUAGCGGUGAAAUGCGUAGAGAUGUGGAGGAAUACCGGUGGCGAAGGCGGCCUUCUGGCCUGCAACUGACGCUGAGGCGCGAAAGCGUGGGGAGCGAACA